CAGCAGCCGCGGGAAUACGUAGGGUGCGAGCGUUAAUCGGAAUUACUGGGCGUAAAGCGUGCGCAGGCGGUUAUAUAAGACAGAUGUGAAAUCCCCGGGCUCAACCUGGGACCUGCAUUUGUGACUGUAUAGCUAGAGUACGGUAGAGGGGGAUGGAAUUCCGCGUGUAGCAGUGAAAUGCGUAGAUAUGCGGAGGAACACCGAUGGCGAAGGCAAUCCCCUGGACCUGUACUGACGCUCAUGCACGAAAGCGUGGGGAGCAAACAGGAUUAGAUACCCGUGUAGUCCCUGUCUCUUAUAC
Molecule: ribosomal RNA, 301 nt
Filed under: uncultured bacterium
Lineage: Bacteria
Description: partial 16S ribosomal RNA
Rfam family: Bacterial small subunit ribosomal RNA
Source: RNAcentral